Molecule: ribosomal RNA, 253 nt
Filed under: uncultured bacterium
Lineage: Bacteria
Description: partial 16S ribosomal RNA
Rfam family: Bacterial small subunit ribosomal RNA
Source: RNAcentral
GACAGAGGGUGCAAGCGUUGUUCGGAAUUAUUGGGCGUAAAGGGCGCGUAGGCGGCGAUGCAAGUCAGAUGUGAAAGCUCUGGGCUCAACCCAGAAAGUGCAUCUGAUACUGCUUUGCUUGAGUCCCGGAGAGGGUGGUGGAAUUCCUGGUGUAGAGGUGAAAUUCGUAGAUAUCAGGAGGAACACCGGUGGCGAAGGCGACCACCUGGACGGAGACUGACGCUGAGGCGCGAAAGCGUGGGGAGCAAACAGG